AGGCGUCGAGCGGCGGACGGGUGAGUAAUGCAUAGGAAUCUGCCCGAUAGUGGGGGAUAACCUGGGGAAACUCAGGCUAAUACCGCAUACGUCCUACGGGAGAAAGCAGGGGAUCUUCGGACCUUGCGCUAUCGGAUGAGCCUAUGUCGGAUUAGCUAGUUGGUGAGGUAACGGCUCACCAAGGCGACGAUCCGUAGCUGGUCUGAGAGGAUGAUCAGCCACACUGGGACUGAGACACGGCCCAGACUCCUACGGGAGGCAGCAGUGGGGAAUAUUGGACAAUGGGGGAAACCCUGAUCCAGCCAUGCCGCGUGUGUGAAGAAGGCCUUCGGGUUGUAAAGCACUUUCAGCGAGGAAGAAGGCCUGGGGGCUAAUACCCCUCAGGAAGGACAUCACUCGCAGAAGAAGCACCGGCUAACUCCGUGCCAGCAGCCGCGGUAAUACGGAGGGUGCGAGCGUUAAUCGGAAUUACUGGGCGUAAAGCGCGCGUAGGUGGCUUGAUAAGCCGGUUGUGAAAGCCCCGGGCUCAACCUGGGAACGGCAUCCGGAACUGUCAGGCUAGAGUGCAGGAGAGGAAGGUAGAAUUCCCGGUGUAGCGGUGAAAUGCGUAGAGAUCGGGAGGAAUACCAGUGGCGAAGGCGGCCUUCUGGACUGACACUGACACUGAGGUGCGAAAGCGUGGGUAGCAAACAGGAUUAGAUACCCUGGUAGUCCACGCCGUAAACGAUGUCGACUAGCCGUUGGGGUCCUUGAGACCUUUGUGGCGCAGUUAACGCGAUAAGUCGACCGCCUGGGGAGUACGGCCGCAAGGUUAAAACUCAAAUGAAUUGACGGGGGCCCGCACAAGCGGUGGAGCAUGUGGUUUAAUUCGAUGCAACGCGAAGAACCUUACCUACCCUUGACAUCGUGCGAACUUUCCAGAGAUGGAUUGGUGCCUUCGGGAACGCACAGACAGGUGCUGCAUGGCUGUCGUCAGCUCGUGUUGUGAAAUGUUGGGUUAAGUCCCGUAACGAGCGCAACCCUUGUCCCUAUUUGCCAGCGAUUCGGUCGGGAACUCUAGGGAGACUGCCGGUGACAAACCGGAGGAAGGUGGGGACGACGUCAAGUCAUCAUGGCCCUUACGGGUAGGGCUACACACGUGCUACAAUGGUCGGUACAAAGGGUUGCAAUGCCGCGAGGUGGAGCUAAUCCCAUAAAGCCGGUCUCAGUCCGGAUCGGAGUCUGCAACUCGACUCCGUGAAGUCGGAAUCGCUAGUAAUCGUGAAUCAGAAU
Molecule: ribosomal RNA, 1272 nt
Filed under: Halomonas sp. MML1912
Lineage: Bacteria; Pseudomonadati; Pseudomonadota; Gammaproteobacteria; Oceanospirillales; Halomonadaceae
Description: bacterial SSU rRNA
Rfam family: Bacterial small subunit ribosomal RNA
Source: RNAcentral